AUCCUACAUAUUUACUCUGCUAAUGAGUCCCUGUAUAACAGAGGUAUGGCUCAUGCUUUCUCAAAGGUCUUUGCUGGACCAGGACUCAAAAUCUCCAGUCCUAGCCUUAAAAGUAGGAUGCUGCUUUUCUGGGUCACCUGUAUGUGAAUCAAUGAAUAAACUAAGAAAAAUAGCUCUGGAAGAGCACUCAUAGAGAGCAUAGAAGCUGAACAGAUUCCUUAAAGGAAUAUUAUG
RNAcentral lists this long non-coding RNA (234 nucleotides) under Mus caroli (Ryukyu mouse). RNAcentral's name for it is "predicted gene 45738 (MGP_CAROLIEiJ_G0034595.1)". Lineage: Eukaryota; Metazoa; Chordata; Mammalia; Rodentia; Muridae. The record is from RNAcentral.